This 516-nucleotide ribosomal RNA is filed under the name Arthrobacter sp. BS22. RNAcentral describes it as "bacterial SSU rRNA". It matches the Rfam family "Bacterial small subunit ribosomal RNA", at positions 53 to 584 of the family's 1533-position model. Lineage: Bacteria; Bacillati; Actinomycetota; Actinomycetes; Micrococcales; Micrococcaceae. The record is from RNAcentral.
ACAUGCAAGUCGAACGAUGAUGCCCACUUGUGGGUGGAUUAGUGGCGAACGGGUGAGUAACACGUGAGUAACCUGCCCUUGACUCUGGGAUAAGCCUGGGAAACUGGGUCUAAUACCGGAUAUGACCUUCCAUCGCAUGGUGGUUGGUGGAAAGCUUUUGUGGUUUUGGAUGGACUCGCGGCCUAUCAGCUUGUUGGUGGGGUAAUGGCCUACCAAGGCGACGACGGGUAGCCGGCCUGAGAGGGUGACCGGCCACACUGGGACUGAGACACGGCCCAGACUCCUACGGGAGGCAGCAGUGGGGAAUAUUGCACAAUGGGCGCAAGCCUGAUGCAGCGACGCCGCGUGAGGGAUGACGGCCUUCGGGUUGUAAACCUCUUUCAGUAGGGAAGAAGCGUAAGUGACGGUACCUGCAGAAAAAGCGCCGGCUAACUACGUGCCACCAGCCGCGGUAAUACGUAUGGCGCAAGCGUUAUCCGGAAUUAUUGGGCGUACACAGCGCCUACGCGGUUUGUC